AAAGCAAAUGUACUCAGCAAUCAAGUUGAAUAAACACACUAAAAAUUAGAAUAUUUCUGCAUAGAGAGGGUUCAGAUAUAGUUCACACAUCCAAUUCAACACUAUGAAAAAUCAACUCAAAAUAACUCUAUUGGUCAAAGUACAUGGGUUGGUUGGUAAAAAUAAAUGAGGUUCUGAUAGGGAACUAAGGUAUCCAAAUUGCAUGAUCUUGGAGAGCUAAAAUCAAGGAUUUAAAGAUCGAUUGAUUACCCUUGAUUGAGUACUUAUUUACCGAUAAAUGUGAGAACCAAGAAAGUCCUAAACUAUUUCUUAGCAAUAAAAUCUAUAAGAUUUAAAAGUAAACACAAUCAUAUUUUGGGAAUCAGAAAUCAAAUGAAAAUUGUGAAAUUUUCUAUAUCCACUUUUCUAUCAACUUCUAAAGCUAUAUAUCCUGGUUCAAAAGAUGCAAGAUGGAUGAAAAAAACCUGUAAAGAGAUAAUCAUUGACAAUUCUACAUGUUUCAGUGUGGCUCUCAUAACUAAUUAUCAUAAAGACACUUCAAGUAGUAUAAAAACAUAGGGCCACAAAUUUGUAGUUUUGAGCAAAAUCCACAAAUUUGAGUUCACAAACAUAGGAUAAAAAUAAAAAUAAAAA
Molecule: long non-coding RNA, 633 nt
Organism: Ipomoea nil (Japanese morning glory)
Lineage: Eukaryota; Viridiplantae; Streptophyta; Magnoliopsida; Solanales; Convolvulaceae
Exons: 2
Source: RefSeq, a predicted model, not a curated record